This 382-nucleotide ribosomal RNA is filed under the name uncultured Anaerolineaceae bacterium. RNAcentral's name for it is "bacterial SSU rRNA". It matches the Rfam family "Bacterial small subunit ribosomal RNA", at positions 986 to 1382 of the family's 1533-position model. Lineage: Bacteria; Bacillati; Chloroflexota; Anaerolineae; Anaerolineales; Anaerolineaceae. The record is from RNAcentral.
AUGCAAGUGGUAGUGAUCUGAAAAGUGAACGACCCUUCGGGAGCUUGCACAGGUGCUGCAUGGCUGUCGUCAGCUCGUGUCGUGAGAUGUUCGGUUAAGUCCGCUAACGAGCGCAACCCUCACUGUGUGUUAUAUGUGUCACACGGGACUGCCGGUUUUAAGCCGGAGGAAGGCGGGAUGACGUCAAGUCAGCAUGGCCUUUAUAUCCUGGGCUACACACACGCUACAAUGGUCUGUACAAUAGGUUGCCAAGCCGCGAGGCGGAGCCAAUCCAAAAAAGCAGGCCUCAGUUCAGAUUGUAGUCUGCAACCCGACUGCAUGAAGCCGGAGUUGCUAGUAACCGCAGGUCAGCAAUACUGCGGUGAAUACGUUCCCGGGUCUU